RNAcentral lists this transfer RNA (77 nucleotides) under Aestuariibacter salexigens. It matches the Rfam family "tRNA". Rfam says of the family: Transfer RNA (tRNA) molecules are approximately 80 nucleotides in length. Their secondary structure includes four short double-helical elements and three loops (D, anti-codon, and T loops). Lineage: Bacteria; Pseudomonadati; Pseudomonadota; Gammaproteobacteria; Alteromonadales; Alteromonadaceae. The record is from RNAcentral. RNAcentral also lists the same sequence under 21 other names.
GGCCCUUUAGCUCAGUUGGUUAGAGCACCCGACUCAUAAUCGGUAGGUCCCCAGUUCAAGUCUGGGAGGGGCCACCA